RNAcentral lists this ribosomal RNA (250 nucleotides) under uncultured bacterium. RNAcentral's name for it is "partial 16S ribosomal RNA". It matches the Rfam family "Bacterial small subunit ribosomal RNA", at positions 505 to 753 of the family's 1533-position model. The record is from RNAcentral.
GUGCCAGCCGCCGCGGUAAUACGGAGGGUGCAAGCGUUAAUCGGAAUUACUGGGCGUAAAGGGCGCGUAGGCUGCCGAUCAAGUCAGAUGUGAAAGCCCACGGCUUAACCGUGCGAAGUGCAUCUGAAACUGGUUGGCUUGAGUAUCGGAGGGGAAGGUGGAAUUCCCGGUGUAGAGGUGAAAUUCGUAGAUAUCGGGAGGAAUACCGGUGGCGAAGGCGACUUUCUGGACGAAUACUGACGCUGAGGCG